ACUGGACAGAGGAGAUGGGGCAAGAGUUGGCUUCUUCUUCUUGCUUGGUGCCGGAGCUGGCACGGCAGCCGGAGGAGAAGCGAGUGGUGCUGGUGGUGGUGUGGCUGGAGGUGGUGAGGCUGGAGGAGGAGAUGCCGGGGGUGGGGUGGCCGGGGGAGGUGAAGCUGGUGGUGGGGAAGCCGGAGGUGGAGAUGCAGGUGGUGGGGUUGCCGGUGGGGGAGUUGCUGGUGGUGGACUGGCGGGAGGAGGAGAGGCUGGUGGAGGGGAGCUAACUGGCGGAGGAGUUGCCGGAGGAGGAGAGGACGCUGGAGGUGGGGUGGCUUGCGGAGGAGGAGAGGAUGUCACUGGUGGUUGAGAUGAUGUAGGUGGCUGCGAGUUGGAGUUUGGCGGCGGGGUAGUUUGUGCAGGUGGAGCCGGGGUUGCCGUCGGUGACCCGGUGGGAGACUGGCCCCCGACGCCGGCGACGACAAUGCAUAACAAUACAACAAAAAUGCUCGAUUUAUGAACCAUAUUUAACGUGCGCACCCUCUCUCUGCGCUCUGCUUAACCUGCGCACUGCCCGAGCGUUAAACAGAGAGUGUGAAGUGAAGUGAAGUGUUGUGCAGUGGAGCGCAGUGAGUGAAAUUGUGAAGAAAUAAAGACGGGAGGUGAUAGAAUAAAUAGGCGUUCAUUGGGAUCGAGAAAUGAAAGGAAGGUUCGGUGUUACUGGGACACUACCAAACAGAUCUGCGACGUCUGAUUAAUGGGGCCCGGUUGAUGUAUGCGGAGGGUUGAGAUCUGGAGCCACGUGGCGCAGUAAAGGAUUGCUCUGCAACUACAGGUGAAAAGAACGGACAAGACAUGUGACUAAGUGACUAAUGGGAGACCGUAGAUUUUUAAUACUUUUUAGUAGUUGGGUGGUCAUCGAUGAUGAUAAUUGAUUCUUUGUUAGUUGCCAUCAUUUUUUUUUUUUGUUAAUUUAUUUAUUUUGGGGCCAAAUCGAAAUGUUUGGUUGCGAUGAUUAACAUUCAAAAAUUAAAAUAAAGAUAAUGCAUUCACAGAUAAAGGAGUUUGAUGCUUGGUACCCACCAUAAAUUUGUUCUCUUGUUUGCUGAAGACAUCUUUAUUCAAUGGGUAAAUAAUAUUCAGAUUAAGUUCAAAUUAAAGGACAAUAAGUGGUUUUUCUUUUUUUCUUUUUAAAUUAGUUCUGUUUUUUUGUAAUUUGUUCGGAUCUAGGACGAAUCGAAUUUGGGUCACAAUGCAUUUGAUUACACUCCACAAUUUUCGACUAAUAUUGCUUAAAUUCUAAGUAAAUUCCUGUUAGUAUUGUGGACUAAUAUCAUAAAAUAGCAAAAUUGUAGUCUUUUCAUUGAAAAUCAACACGUCUUACAAAGACAAAUUUAAUCCACAAUAUAAAAAAUUGGAAUCAAUUAGUAAAAAUCGGGCAUGUCUGGCAGCUAAAUCAAGCUAAGCUAGCAUCAAUCGUCAUGUCGUUUUCUGAUGUAUGUGAUAUUUUUGUUUAGCCAAUUAUGAUUGGUGGGGCCGAGAAUCCCAUGUGAUGCAUCUCUUAUACGGCAACUGGCGAUAUGUGAUUUGUACGCCAAGGCUUUGUGCCGAUAAUCCCAAAAUCAACCCUGUUUUCGGUUGGUACGUUGUAGCACCACCGUCCCUUUUGCGGGCCCCAUCUCCCUUUCUCUGGCAUGCCGUGAUUGGUGGAUUCUCUAUCCCCAAAUCUUCACGGCCAACAUCUUCGUCUCGAUGAGAGAGACUGCCUUCGGAUUGAUUGAGAUCGAGUGCUAAGCAUUGGAUAUAGCAAACAAUGAGUAAUUAGACGUGUAAUAGAUUAUUAUAAAUAGGCUGGUGCUACGUUACGUAACGUAACGUAAGUCACAUACAGUAAUAGUUUUUAUGUUGAGUUAUAAUUAAUUUAAAAAUAAUUUUUUAUGAUUUUAAACUUAAUCAUACAAGAAAAAUUAAAUUAAAUUAUUAAAAAAAUUCUCCUAAUUUUGUCUGACAAUGCCCAUUCCAAUGGAGGGGAAAAAAAAAACUAAGCGAAUAAAAUGAUAAUGACGCAUCGAAAUUGAAUCUUAAUGAAUCACUUGGGUUGUUAAUGAAAUUAGAACCAUAAUUAUGAACGCACCAAAAGCCAAUUUUAUUGUGGGCCUUAACUUAAAAAAGAAAUAAUGGCUGAGUGGGCUCACGUGUUUGAUCCUAAUUCGUUAUAAGAAAAGCAAAAUUUGAGGGAGGAUUGAAGGUCAAGGAGACCUUUGCUUCUAAGCCAAUGCAAUUUUUAUCUGCUUUAUGUUUUUCCAAUCAUUACGGAUUAUCCAAUCUCACUCGUAGCUCUCAUGAUUCUUUAUAUAGAUUUCGUUUGUCGCGUUUCUAUUCUACAUUUAUACAUACGUAGAUAUAAAAUAAGCGUAUAAAAUAUAAUUUUUUUUUUUUAGUUGUAAAUCAUCCUAUGUAAACCAUCCAAUGUCAUGAGACUGUAUUGGACCUUGACUAAUCUAGAUUCGGGGUGUAGUCACAGUUAAAGUUUUUUAACCUUUCCAAAUGGUAUGUUUAGUGGAGAUCGAACCUGAGAGCUCUCCCCACAAACUCAACAUGCGCUGUCAACUGAGCCACAACCAUUUAAAGUAUAAUUUAUUUUAACAAUGAAUGUUAUUUUCAUUAUAUCACUAUUUGAUCAUUCAGUUAAAUAAUUUUAUUUGACUAAUCACUCAAAUUUAAAGUAUGAGAGGGGGGGGGGGGGAGAGAGAUAUUAAAACAUUGAUUUAAAUUUUGCCUAUCUCUUUAUCUUAAAAAAAAAGUUUGCAAUAAUAAUAAUAAUAAUACCGUAUAAUGAUGAUAAUUGUUAAAGGUAGACCUAAAAGACUCUCGUAAUUGAAAAUGCUAGAAACCGGAAUAAUUAUACAAAAGCAAAAUUAAGAGAAUGAGAAUAAGAUAAAUUUGGAAUAAGAGUGCUUUGGCGGACAGCUAAGGGAUGAGUGGAGCCCAAGAAACAGCGUAAGGCAAAAGGAAUUACGGGGGCUGAGACGUCUUAAUCAUUAAUCAAAAUCAAUUUGUUGAAACUGAUUUGAUGUUAAAAUGUCAUCACAUCGCCCGUUGCCCCAUUUCCUUUCAAUUUCUAGUGAUUGAAUCGAACCUCUUCCCGUUAAUUAAGCUUGACUUUAUACAAAUAUUGAUGCACAUUUUUUGCAGUUGAAAAAAAGCCUAAGUCAGCUUCAUUUUAAUUAUAUUACAAUUCACAAUGAACCAUGCAUGUAUGGACCUCAUAAUUAAAUCUAUGGUUUUAUCAAGUAUAAUGUUCGUACGAAUUUUGUUGUUUUGAGUUAUAAACUUUACUCAGUCGACUUUCUUUUAGCUUAGGGAUAUAUAUAUAGUAAGUAGUUUUUUGGUCAGAAAUUUUAAAUUACAGAAAAAUUCAGAAAAAUUUUAAAAUUAUACGGCUUUAAAAGCUUACAGUUUUAAACCUUUAAAAUUAUACGGUUUUAAAAAUUUUCCGCACUUUAAAAUUUUAAUAUAUAUAUAUAUAAAAUAAUUUUUUUGUCAGAGAUUUUAAAGUGCGGAAAAGUAUGGGAAAAUUUUAAAACCGCACGGUUUUAAAAACUUACAGUUUAUUUAUAUAUAUAUAUAGUAGUUUUCUGAUUAAGUUUUCCGUAUUUUAAAAUUCUGGAUUGGAACAUUUCUAUAUAUAUAUAUAUUCACAAUUUGUUAUAGGAGUCCUGUGAGAAUAUACUUUCUAAUUAUUUGAGAGUAAAUUUUCAAGAGCGUCCUGCAAUUGCAAACAUAUUGUAACUUGUAAGCAAAAAUUUUGCGGGACAAAGCCAUGAGAUGAGUCGGAUCCAGAGCAUGCAUAACAAAUGAAAGUAAUCUAAAAGCCAAUGGACGAUGUAGGUGGCACGUCAUCUCAAUCAAAUAUAUGCCCUAAUAAAAAAAUUUUAAAAAUAAAAAGCUUAUUCUUUUUAAUAAAUUUCUCGUGACGAAUCUUUAGUGAUAUUUACUUGAUGAUGUGCUUUGCUGUCUUCACGAUGAAGAAAACGGCUGAGACAGCAGCAUGAGGUUGAAUCGGCAACAACCGUUUUAUUUUUUUAAUAUUUAUGAAUGUCUAAUAUAUAUAUAUAUAUAUAUAUAUAUAUAUAUAUAUAUAUAUAUAUAUAAAAUAAUAAUAAAAAGGACCCUCCGAAUUUUUUAAGUUGGAGCAACAUAAUUCGGGAAUCCCACGAUCAAUUUACUUUCCCAUUUUUUGUUUAAAGAUUUUUUUUUCUUUCUUUUGGUAUUAUGUUAAAAAUAUUUUGAUAUACAUAAUGUAGGUACAAGGAUUUGCAGCAACAAAUUAUAUUCCACCACGUGUCUAGUUAGCCAACAUGUCAUUUCAAAAAGAUGAUUCUUUCAUUCUUUCACUAUGAAAUUCAUAUAUAUAUAUGUAUGUAUGUAUAUAUAUAUAUAUAUAUAUAGUAGUUUUCCAAUCAGUGAUCUCUAACUUUAAUAAAAUUAGGGAUUAGUUAAAAGAUAAAAAUAUGGAUUAUUUUAUCAUGUAGUGUAUUUAAUUUUAUUUUAUUUUUGUCUUUUAGCUAAUCCCAAACUUUAUUAAAAUCAAGGAUCCCUGAUUGAAAAAUUAAUAUAUAUAUAUAUAUAAAAGGAGCAUUUAACUGGUUAUCGAAUUCUCUAAUCUUUCUCGAACGACAUCAAAGUAUUUCUCAUAAGUUGAACCCUAGCUUAAGCGUUUGAGUGUAUUUAGCAUGUGCUAACAAACACUUGGAGCUUUAGAAGUUUGAAGACGAUAAAAGAUAUUCAGUCGUUUCAAGUAACAAAAUAAUUCAUCACUUGUAUAUAUAUAUAUAACUCAAAGAUUAAAUUUUGUCACGACACACUUUGUAUAUCUAAAUUAAAAGAAAACUUACUAUUCUUUCACAUAUACAAAAGGAAAAUCUUCUUCCAAUAAUGUCGGAGAAACUCCAUUUCCAUUUAAUAAAAGUUUGAGAGUGGGGAUAUUAAUUAUUCUUAGAAACAUCAAAUAAACUAAUAGUUUUUUCAUAAUCAAUCAACUACAUGCUCUCUAAUUUAUUUUUUAUUCUCAAGAUGGUAAAUCGAUUUAGUGUUAAAAAUGCAUUUGAAGAAUCUAGUGAUAAAAAUCAAUUUGUAGAGGGUAUAAUUGAUUGAUUGUUGAAAUCUAUCAUUUUAAGAUUCACUUUGGUACUCCUAUUGGAGGGUAGUGACUUAGUGCUAAUUUUAUUCUAUGAAAAAGUUAUAAUAUCAUUGUUAUUUUUAUUAAUUAUUAUUUAAAAAUCAUAUUUAAAAUGCUAUUAAUCUUUAUUUUACAUUAUUUGUGGCUCAAGGAUUAUUUUGAAAUCAUAUUUAGAAUAUCCAUGAGUAGGAAAAUUUAUUAAGUUUAAACUUUUUCAUUGUUCUACUAAAUCGGGCUUUAUGGACAAGGGCCGAAAGCCAACUUUGUCGGCUUAGGACUAUCAGUCCAUUUACUGAGCCCAAAAUAGAGAGCCGAUAUAUGGAUAAGAUUACCACCAAGCUUUUUGACAACCCUCUAAAUUCCUUAUCAGACCCCUAUUUAAUUAAAAUUAUUUAAAUAAUUGACCUUUUUUUAAAUGAAAAUUCAAUUAAACACUUAAAUAAAUUAUUUCUUACACCCACCUGAUUUCAUAAUUUAUAUUUAUAUUUUAAAUUUUAAUUGAAAUCAUUUUUUUAGAAGCUUUCAAGAAUUAAGAAUUAUGGGAGAUAGAAAUUAUGUAAUAAGAAGAAAAUAAUUUAAGAUUUUAGUAUUUGUAUCAAUUUAUAAAUAAGAACUUAAAAGAAAUACUCUUGUUAGAGCUAAAUCUAGUGACAACAUGAUUGAUUUAGAUUUAUGAAUUAAUAGUUUAUAAAUUAAGAUAGGUAUUUUAGGGAAUAGAAUUCAAAAGGGGUGUCAUAAGAAAUUUUGAGGGGUGUUAAAAGCAUCAGUCUGAAUUUUACAGGUACCGGCCGAAUUCUUGUAGCCCGAUUUGCCAAUUCUUAAAACUCAAUCCAGCAUGUGUAACACUCUAAAGUCUAAACACAAUACCCAUUCAAUUGAAUUAUGCAAUCUUGAAUUUGUAAAAUUAGUUUGUGUUUUUAGCAUUACUCACUCAAUAUUAACGAUAAUAACAUUGUUGAUACAAAUAUUUUAACAAACUAAUAUAUUAUAUUAUAUGAUUGCCACGUGUCUUGUAUAAUCUACCUUAAUUAUCACAAGUAAUGUAAGUUGGAAUGAUCUAUACUCAUCUCUAUGAAAAAUUAAUCCACUUAUAAGUUUAGUUUUUUUUUUUAAUUUAGACAUCUUCAAUACAAAGAUUUUCAUCCAUAAUCAAAAUCAUUUAAAAAAAAAGAUGACAUAUAUAUAUAUAUAUAUAUAUAUAAAGCUGAGAUUGGAGGAGGUAAUGUGGUAUCACUAUUUCUCAUCUUCUUGUAUUCUCUAUUAUCUAAUAAAUUGGUUGAAAUUAAAAAAAUAAUUACAUUACAAAAUAUUAAAAAUAAAAAAAUAAUUAUUAAAUUACAAAGAUUACAUGUCUCUUCCUCUUUCAAUUUAAAUUCAAUAAUAUGUAACCAUUAAUAAUAAUUAAUUAUAAGUCUUGAAACAUUCAUUUAUUUUAUUAUGCCAACAAUUAAACUUUAAUAGCUUAAAUACAUCAAUUAAUUAAUAUAGAAAGGAAUGUUCCUUCAUCUUCCCUUAACAAUGUCAUUAGGGCCUAAUUUUAAUGUCAUAAUCCUAUAUUUAAUUAUGCAACCUUUUGUUUAGUGCCUUUUGGCUUCUUCAAACUCUAUAAAUAUUAAGUAGUUAAGAUUUGUGGCAUAAUUAUUUCUCAUCUUUUUAUAUUCUCUAUUAUCUAAUAUAUUGGUUGAGAUUAAAAAAUAAUUACAUUACAAAAUAUUAAAAAUAGAAAAUAAUUAUUAGAUUACAAAAGAUUACGUGUGUCUUCCUCUUUCUAUAUAAAUUCAACAAUAUGUAACCAUUAAUAAUAAUUAAUCAUAAGUUUUGAAACAUACAUUUAUUUUAUUAAGCCAACAACUAAACUUUAAUGGUUUAAAAUAUAUCAACUAAUUAAUAUAGGAAGGAAUGUUUCCUUCAUCUUCCCUCACCAAUGCCACUAGGGGCUAAUUUUAAUGUCAUAANNNNNNNNNNNNNNNNNNNNNNNNNNNNNNNNNNNNNNNNNNNNNNNNNNNNNNNNNNNNNNNNNNNNNNNNNNNNNNNNNNNNNNNNNNNNNNNNNNNNUAUCAGAUUUUGACCAUAAUAAAAAAAACUAGGGAGAAAAAGGAUUUGGUUUUGUAAGAUUUGGGGAUUCUAUUAAUACCAGGAAAAAUGAAGAAUUGUCUUAAUGUGUACCAAAUUUUUAUGGAGGAAAAAAUAAUGUACACUUAGCUAUACAUAAUUAUUAUUUAUUUUAAAGGUAACAAAAAAAAAAACUCCUUUAAAUAACAUUAGUUUUAUAAAGUUACAUCAUUGUAUUGAAAAAAUUAAUUCAUAUUUUAAUCCAAUUUCAAUCAAGUAUAAAAAUUUUUUUAAAAAAAUAAUAUUAAAUCUUUUUUUUUAAAAACCGCGCUUAGUGCGGUUCUAUUUUCUAAUUUCAUAUAACAAUUGAAGUCUUCAUUUUUCAUUGUAGUUGAUUAUAAACUUUCAAUAUAUACAAGCGGGGUAACAUUAUCUUUCACGAAAUUUUUUAUUUUUAUUUUUAUUUUUGUAAUAACUCACCUCGAUCGACAUGAUGCAUUUUACCUCGAUACCUAAAUCUAUGUACAAAUUGACCUACUCACACGUGAACAUAAAAUUAUAAUUAAUAUAUAUAUAUACUAUAAAUUUUAUAAGCCCGCCCACAUAGAAAGCCUCAUCACUUACCUUCUAGACAAAAAAACUCCCUAGUGAAAAAAAUUGCGAUAAAUAUGCAUGAAUUCUAAUAUCUAGGGCAAUUGCCACAGUGCCAUUAAUGCGAGUCAUAAAAUAUUGUUGAUUGAUAUGAAUUUAUUCCUUUGUCACCGCGAGGAAGAGAAAGAGAGAAGCUUCCUUUGCCGACAACUCGAAGAUACCAAUAAUUGUUUUUUUUUUCCCAGAGUAAUAAGUUUACAAACUUUGUUUAUUAUUUUUUUGGGACUGCAAAAUGUGCCUAGCAAUUUAUUGUUUUGAUUGAUAGUUAAGAUUAAGUGUGUGAUUAGAUUAAUUUUAGAAUUAAUUUUUUUUAUGUUUGGCAAUCAUUUCUUGGAUUGGAUUAGGCAAAGUAAAUUUAAAUUUAGUUCAUAAAUUUAUCACGGAAUUAUCAAUCUCAAUUUACAAGUGUGUUUCGAUGGAGUUAUAAUAAGAGGAGAAAAAUGUACAUAUCACCAUUUUGUAUUUAUUACUUAAAAUUUAAUUAAUUCAUUCAUUCAUUCGUUCAUUCGUGAUUUACUUGAAAUUUAUUUUUAAUUUAUUUUUUAUAGUCUAAUUAUAUUAGUACUUUUAUUUCAACAAAAUUAAUUAUUUAAUAAUAGGUAAUUAUUCACCAACCACUUGAUUUUUUUUUUUUACUUUUUCAAAAAUAUACAAACACUUUUUUCUUUGCAAAAAUUCACAUGAAGUUUACAAAUGUUUUGGGUGUCCAACAUUGCCUUAACUCUAAUAGAAUUCCGGUGACAUUAUAGGAUUAAAAUUAUCAUUUUACCUAAAAAAUCUAAAAAAGACAUCGUUCAAAUGCAAUUGAAAUUAAAAAAUGAAAAAUUAUCCACCGAUCACAUGAUAUUUCAACUUUUAUAAAAAAUACACCAAUAUUUUUUUCUUUUCCAACAAUCCACCUGAAGUUUACGAAAUGCAUCACUACUCCUUUGCAAUCAUAACUCAUUAAAUUCAGGUCUCUAAUUCAGGACAAUAAUUAAUAUCUAAGGAAGGAAGAUGUGGUAAUCUAUUGUCCCAUUAUUUAUAAUGGGCAGCUCUUCAAAAAUACCAUAAUUCUAAAUCUAUUAUUUCUUUAUAAUGAAUUUAAUUAACCGUCCUCUUCUUUCGCGUCAGCUGCUUGUUGUCACUCAUUAUCACUCCCCUUUCACUCACUAUUUGCUUAGUGGUCGCUGUUAUGAUGGUAGUGGAGUAAUGAAGCACUUCGUAAACUUCAAGUGGAUUGUUGCUAAAAAAAAAAAAAAAAAAAAGAGGUGUUUGUGUAUUUUUUAUAAAGCUUGAAAAAUCAAGUGGUUAGUGAAUGAUUUCGUUUGGGGGCAAAACAACUAUUUGACUAAUAUUUCGUUAAAUCCUUGAUGGUGUUAAAGAAAAAGUGGAGCAAUAAUGCACUUUGUAAACUUCAAGUGGAUUGUUGCUAAAGGAAAGAAAAAAGAAAAAGGAUAUUUACGUAUUUUUGAUAAAGCUUAAAAAUCGGUGGUCGAUAAAUAAUUUCUUUAUAAUUAUUUAUUGUAAUAAUGUAUUGCAUUAUAUUUAAUAAUUAGUAAUUUAAUACUAAAAAUAAUUAUGACAUCAAUAAUACCAGUAAUUAGUUGAUUUAACACAUAUUAUUUGCUAACCUUUUAAGAAAAUAAAAUAUAUCUAAAAUAUCUAAUAAAAUUUAAUUAAAUAGUUUAGUAAUUUAUUGUUAUUAUAAUUAUGACUACUCGAUAACUGAUUUAAUAUAUAUUUAAUUUUCUUUUUUAUUAUAAUAUUAAAUUAAUUUUAAUUAUUAUAAUUAACUAUUCAUAAAUAAUCUUUUGUUUAAAUAUAAUUUAACAUUGUCGAAUUGAUUAUUGUACCAAACGUUAAAAUAAUAUUAUGUAUAAUUUAAAUUAAUCUAAUUUAAUAUUCAGAUCCUAAUAUUUAACUUGAUCUAAUCAUGGGUCCCAGACACAUAACACUUCCUAGAAUCCUGCUCAAUUUCGGAAUUUAAUAUCAAUUGAGUCACAGAAAUGGGUACCAAAAAGUCAAAGCAAGUCAUUUGCAAUAUUCAUUAUUAUUAUUAUUUUCGAAUAAAAGAUACAAUUAACCAGAUUCUAGAUUCUAUAUUACCCAAUAAUUUAAUGGUUUUGUGAUUUGGGACCUAACCCUUCAUUUAUUAUGGUUAGUGGCUCAUAGUCUCCCAGUGUAUUUGUCAACCUGAAUUUAAUUGGUACAUUCGGACAGCUAAGGGCAAUGUAUUAAUACUGUGCUAGUUAGGUACGAAUUGUGGCAUUAAAUUAUUAAAAAAAUUUAUAUUAAUAUAUUACAAUUAAAGAUCUAUUAAUAUUUUACAAUCAGAAAUCGUUCAGAACUUUUCUUAAUAAUCUUUAGUUUCUCAUUUUACUCAUUACAGUAUUAGUAAAUGAAAAUAACAUUUUGAUUUAAAAACGCAUAAAUUAUAAUUCAAUUUGUGAAAAUAAGUUUAAUCGAAUUAGAUUUUGAUUGAUCGAAUUACAUAAUCGGUACAAAUAAUGCAUACCUAAAUCAAUGUCCUCAGAAAAACUUUUGCUUAUUGCUUGAUUACUAAACCUAAGCCUAGUGAGCUCCAAUUUUGUGUCUCACAUGCACAUGAUUUUGAACUUUAAAUAAAAGAGUGAAUGUGUUUGGUAAGAAAAAUAGCUAAGCAAUUGUUAUUUAAAAUUAAGAUUUGAAAUCAAGGUUUUCAAAGUCAACUUGGAAUUCGACACAAUUCGUCCUAGGAAAUGAGGAGGAAGAUGGACAUGAACUUUGCAUAUUCGUUUUAAAAUGUGUAUUAAAUUAAUGCCAAUUCUCCCAUAAACUAACUUGGAAUCACUUUUACAUGAAGAAAUAGAAUUAAAUUAUAUGGAUUUAAAAACACCGAUUUAAUAAUUCUAAGUUUCAUCUAACCCCUGCAGAGUUUUAAGUCCAACAGGCAACAGCCAAUAAUGCUAAGACCAUCCUUUUCCCCACAAACUUAUAGCUAGCGGGUCCUCUCUAUUUAAUGCCAAUUCUAUACUAAAAUAAACAAAGAUUUGAGCAAGUAUGGGAGAAAAAAUUAUUGCUUUAUUAACCAGAUGUAAAAAUCUACAUGAUCAUUUUCAUUUGAGGGGAUACAAAAACAUAUAAUUUUAUUUUAAGAAUGCGUAAAAGAAAUCAUGCGGAUUUAUUAAUAAUAUGAUUUUAAAAAUUUUUCGCGAUUAAUUUGGGCCUGAUUAACACAACAUUAAGAACUGCAGCUUGAAAAUCAACUUUGAAAUCAAUACUAAUCCGACGUCUAAAAUUUCACCCACAUCAAGAUAGAAAACGUACGCAUGACCGAGAUAUUGGGAUAUUUAAUGAAUACUAAGGGCAUCUCAACAAACUUGUUAGAUAUUCUACAUUAAUGUGUUGUAAAUUUUGUACUCGAGCUACAGCAACGAGAAUGGAAGCUAGAUUUUGGUAGAUAGCUGGUGUGAAUGUGAUAUCGAGAAUCAAUUGGACAAAAAUUGCAAUAAAAAAGAUGGUGAAGUGUUGAGCUAAGCUGCUUCUCUGGGGAAGUCAUUAAUCGAUCAAUAAUGGUCCAUUGGUCCUGCAUUAUGGGAUAUGCUAUGGAUAAAAAGAUUUGGACCAAAACUCAAAGCGCUUCUUUUAUUUAUUUUUUUUCCUUCACUCAAAUUAGACACCCAAAGACUGAGUGGCGAACCACUAUCUUCAAAAGUAAGUAUGAUUAUGAGGGCAAUGGUUUGAGUUCUUAUGAACUCAAUAUUUCUCAAUUAAGUAUAAUUAUAUAGAGUUAAUUUACGAAAUGCGAGUGGAGUAUAGACAUCCCUCCUCUGUAAGAAAUACGAGUGGAGCAUAAACAUCUCUCCUCUGUGAGAGUUACAGAUAAUAAUAAUUAUCUGUGUAAUACAUUAAUAUGAUGCGUAAUCAGUAUUAAAGAAAAAAAAAACACCCAAAAGCUUAUUUUCCGAGGGACAAGGUUUGUUCACUCAUAAGUGGUGUCGUUUUAAAAAAAAAGUUGUAAUAAUGUGCUUUAUUCACAUGGAUGAUUGAUUAAUAGAAAAUGUCACGACAUCCCUGAAGCCAAGCUCUGACCGCACUCGCCGUACACCAAUUAAUUUUUGAUAGAGAAGAUUUUUUUUUUUAAAGAAUUUUCACAAUUAUAAAGAGUGCAUUCAAUCUCACUUGUUUAAGAUCCCAAUCAUGGGAACCCUAAAAGGAAUACGGUAAAUUAAAUUUGCCAUAGUCAUGCUCUGUGCAAAUUCAAAUUGGGUAAUGGCCGAAGGAAUAUGGGCAAACUGAUACACCCAUGUGUAAAGGAUUUUAUUAGAAGGUUGGUUUCCACAUUUACUUAUUUUCUUGAGACUCUCUAUUUCACAGCCACACAUGCUAUCAGAGUUACGGGAUCAAGCAGAGGCAGCAAGUGACUAACCAUAUUUAUAAUGGUACUUGUAUACGAAGGCCACAUGAUGCCACAAUUUCUUUCCCCCCAUAAAGAAACCCUAAAUAAUGGAGAAAUUUGACGGUUCAGAAACAUCAUCAUGAGCUGGAACCUUCCCCCAUAAUAAAAAUUGCAAUAAAUGAUAUGAUAAAAAAAAAAAAAAAAGGGAGCAAAGCAGUGAAAGGAGAAAGAGUGUGCCUCUGCAAAAGCAGGUUAAAAAUAGUUUAUGAAAUCACAUGCGGUUUUGGGGGACACUUUUGUCUCGUGCAUUGCUGUAAUGAUAUAUUCAUAUUGAUAUUCACUUCACACACAAGCUUCGCGUUUGCCAAAAACGAUGCAAGACCCAGUUGUAAGCUUCAGUCAGAGAAGGGGGAAUAGGGAUUCUUUUCCUUCUUUAUUAAUGCUUCAAAAGGGGAAAUAAUAUUUGUUAAAGCAGCAAAGCAAAGGGGUCCAAAGAGGGACACUGCUACCAACUUUCAAACAACCACCCUAGAUGCUCUCAAGCACCAUAUACAAAGAUUCGUUCAAUUUAAUUAAAAUUAUAUCAUGUCAUCAGCAUUCAAAAAGAUUGCACCCAACAAAAGGAACUGAUAAGCUAAGUGAUCAUGUGAAGGUGGUGUCAUCAAGACUCAAUUUGACUGAGAAACAAAAGCAAAGUUAAAGAGUUCAAAAGGAAAAAUGCUGAUCUCUAUAUUUUUUUAUCAUCAUGUGACCCGCAAUGUUCUUGAUUAUAUCUUUGUCAGCAGAUAUUACCAAAUGCCAAAAUACAAACAGAAAUUACUCUUCAGAUCAACGAUUUGGUUGGAACAAGUAAGAAAAAUACAAUACUAAUUUCAUAAUUCCUUCUCAUUUACCCUGCCGACUUCCAACAGUAUCCAGCAAAAAUACCCCUUUUUUUUUUAGCCGAAACCCAGAAACAGCUACUACAAAACCACACAAAGGGAAACAAACCCACAAAAGAUUAGAAUUAACAAACUAGACAACUUUGAUCUUAAACUAAUGCUAGCCAGUAGCAGUUUCCUUUUCGCUGCCACUGCAGUAUUCAGUAAGCAAGAGAAUUAGUAAACUAAGGAAAGGUUAAUGGUUCUUCUUUACGACAGCUUCACCACCUUCCUUCAGGCAUGGAAGGUAAACUAAAAAUUAACCUCCAUUUGCUCUAUAUCCCUAUUUGGAAAACUGAGCUCCAACUCCAUAGUUGGAUUCUGCAGAGAGAGUAUAAAGAUUCAUCGAGGUCCAAGCUGAACCUGUGAAUAUUUACGACUCUAUUUACAGAUUAACAGAGGCAUGUACCAAAAGUCCAAAAAUCUGACUUCACUUCUACUAUGUAACUUCUAUCCGGUUAGUAGAUUAACAGCAGCUACCAAUAUAAACAAUUGCCUUGAUUGAACCUAUCCUUUGGUUAGACUUCCGUCUUCCAUAUCAUGUUAUCAGUGCUACUAUCACGUGACUUCUCCAGUGCAGCAACUUUAGCCCGAUGUGCUGCUAAUGCAAUUACGCUUUUUCCCCUUUCAUCAUUAGCGAGUUCACAGGCCUCACUGAUGGAUCCAGACCUCAAAUCAGCUGGGGGAAUAAAACAAUCCACUGAGAGACCAGGAACAUUAAAUGCAACCUCUUCAAUAGUCCAAGCUUCUUCCAUCUUUGUUUUGGAAUGACUCAUUGCCACCUCCCCGAACCUAAAAAGUGUCACGACAGAACGGCCAGAGUGUGCAAUCAUGAUGCCUUCAACUGGUCUGUAAUCGUCAAGAAACGAAUUGAUCGUCGUUUCCCAGUAAACUGCAUCACCACCAUUAGACUGGAUUCGAGUCAAAUGUGAAUCCUCCAUAUAAACAAGAAGUCCGGUCUUUUGGCUGAAGUAGCCAAACAAGACAUGCCUAAUGAUCUCUGCCGGACCUUCACUCCUGGCCUUAAGCGUCUGAGGGUCCGCACAAAGCUUGAGGAUGAAGCAAUCCUCACCAUUAAUCUUUUUCUCCCCUAUGCACCUUGCAUCAGCAAACAUACUAGCUGUUGUCCUCGGAUCAAGACCCUGAAACCCAUCAAUAAUCAGCAAAUAACCAACAUGGAUCAACUAACUGACUUCAAGUGCUAAGAUCAACACCAAAACCUCACCUGAAGUGCACGACGCAGAGGUCUAACAGGCCCUUUGGCAGUAUGGGCCCCGAGCCAGGGUGUGUGCCUCCAAACAAGCUUUCCAUUGCAUCCAGCAUGAACCUUACUACCUCCAACUGCAAGCUCAACAUACCACAUGUCUGGAUUCAUCUGCCAAAGCACAAACCCACCUGAUUCUGCACAUCUAGUUGCAUUCCGGUUCUUAACUGUCCUCGCAGCGGUUUCAAACUCAGAGGCUACCAUCCUAACCUUCCCCAUUGCAUACGCAUUUCUAAUGGAGUUUUGCAACUUCUGCCCGCCAGAAGCCGCAGUGUACUGCUGCAAAAUGUACUGCGCCGAAGAAGCUUCCUGCAACAACCAAAUUUUAAAAUGACUUGGCCAUAACUUUACAACAAUUUUCACUAGAUUACAAAUUCAUAAAAAUCAAAAGCUUCAAAUCACGUGAAGCUUCGUGUCUGCUACAACACUAGCACAUCAAUUUGUACUAACUAUCAAGGAGACUCACCACAGGUUCUCACUAACCAAACAAAAGAUAAAGACAAUAAUCAUAAAUUUACUAAAAGUAGCUAUACAAUAAUAGUUAUAAAUCACGUCUUUAUUUUUUCUUUACUUAAUUCACCCCUCAAAGAUACUCAGUACCCCGAAAAGACAGAAGAGGGGGAAAAAAAAAACCCUUAACAAGCAAAAACUGCAAGAAGAUAGAGGAGCUAACAAUGGGAGUGUCUUUGAUGCUCAAGUGAGGCAAAGGGUCGUUGUCGCUAACGUGCACCGGGGCCAACGGUGCGCCCAUAACACCAAGCAACAGCCUCAGAUCAGACCUCCUAUAAGCCAUAGCACUGACCGACGGCGUCCUCGACAAUUGCCCCUUAACCCAGUUGCCCAGGCCCGACCCGACCCGCUUAGACUCCCCGAGUUCGGCCCCGUCCGGAUCUGGGCCUUCCAUUAAUGGCGCCAACGCCUCCCCAACCACCGGCCUUAAACUCCCGGAUCUCGAAACCAACUGCUCCUGAGUGGCCACCUGAUGAUGGUGGUGGUUGGAGCUCUGGUUCUUUCUUCUUCGAAGAAGCGACGAAAUGGGGGACAUAGACCGGGCCGGGCUGGCAGCACGUGACCGGGAGGGGCUUAGGCCGCGGACUACUUCUUGUUUGAGAGCUGAGAAGAAGCCUUGUUUCUUCUCCAUUUUUGUUCUUUUUUUUAACUUUUUUUUUCUUUCAGGGGUUUGAGAGUUGAAGGGGAAGAAUGUGAUGUGAGUUUUUGGUUUAGAGAUUCAUAGAGAGCCAGAAAGCAGAGAGCAGAAUGUGAGUGAAGAGUGUUUUGUGAGAGAGAAGCGGCUUUGAAGAAUGAGACUGUGCUGUGCUCUGCUGAGUGUGUGUGUUCGGGGGGAGAGAAAAUAUGGUCAAAUGUGGACAGAUAAAAAAGAGUGCGGCGAAAUAAAAUAUGAUUCUAUCAAACUAUAAUGGGAGAGGAGAAAGGGGUGCUUGCAAAAUUAUAUACGAACCCUUUAUUGUUACAAUAUUUUAAAUAAUAACAAUGGUAUACAUUUGUAUCAAAUAGGUCUCUAAUGUCUAGCUGAAUUGCAAAACUAGCCUUUCUUGUUAGAGUAAUGAUACAGCCACAAACUCUUGUACAAACUUAUUUUGUACAAACUGAUGUGGCAUUAAUUCAUUGGUUGAAUGAAAAUAUAAAUUAAUAAAAACAAAUCAUGUGGGCCAAGUGAUAUUUAAUUCAACUAAUCUUAUCAUGCCACAUCAGUUUGUACAAAAUAAGUUUGUAUAAGAGUUUGUGGCUGUAUCAUUACUCUUCUUGUUAAAGUUAAGUACGCGGUGGUAAAAUUCCUAAUUCGAUAAUUUGGUCAUUUACAAAGGUCGCAAGACCUAUUUGAUAGAAAUGGACAAGCUAUGGGUACUAAUAUUUGAAAACGUAGAAAAUCAGGGACGUAGUUGUUAUUUCACAGGUACGUGCUACCGUGUCGUUUUAACUGGCUAAUUAGUAGUUGGAGAGCUUUAGUUAAUUCCAGGUUUACGGAAAGUCGAUUUUUACUCUGAAUUCAAAGAAGGGAGUGGAGGUAACUUGCAUGAAUUGGGAAAUUUUCUAAGUAUAGAAUUUGUGUCAUGCCUGGGUGUAUUACUUAAUAUAACUUUUUUAAAUGAAUAAUUUGUCUUUGUGUAAUCCGUGAAUUGUGAUAUUGUUUGUAUCUAAGAUACACUAGACGGUAAAUAACUCGUUGUGUAAAAUUGAUAUCAAUAUUUAUUAAAUCUUUAUGCACGACAACAAUAUCACAUCAAAUCAGAUUUAGGCCGUAAUUCGUUUUUGAAACUAGAUCUUAUGGGAAUGAUUACGUAUCCAUAAUUGGUAACUACAAUCGAUUUUUUGAUCAAUCACUUUAAAGAUCAAAAUGAAAAUAUGAAAAAGAAAAAGAAACAAAAAAUUUCACUAACAAAUAAUUACACGUAUCAUAUUUAAAUUUCAUGUAUUUUUGAUUGAUUCAUUUAUUCAUAUCAUCUUCCAUCAUCAUAUUUGCUUGUUUUUAAACUAUUACUGCAAUUAAUUUGAACAAUAAUCAAUCUUUUGUACUAUAAAAAUAAGAGUAAUGAUACAGCCACAAAUUUUUAUACAAACUGACAUAACAUUAAUUCAUUGAUUGAAUGAAAAUAUAAAUUAAUAAAAAUAAAUCAUGUGUACCAAGUAAUAUUUAAUUCAAUCAAUCUUAUCAUACCACGUCAAAAUAAAUUUAUAUAAAAAUAUGUGACUGUAUCAUCACUCUAAAAAUAAAUCUUAAAAAUAAAAAUCUUCAAGACGCAUGACCAAAAGAAAAUCACUGACUUUUUUUACUUGUGAGUGUGCGGUGAGAACGUUACAAUUACAGAGAAAACUGCAGCAUUUGGUGCGCCUCAGUUGGGCUUUAGCCUUUUUUUUUUUUUUUGGCCAUUACGUGCAGCGAAAGCUCUGAUGUGAAAGUCACGUUCUUUUCUCCCACUUGAUUGGACGGUGUUAUUCACGCGGUUAGACCGCCCUUAAGAUUGAAAAUUACCUGUGUGAGUAUCGAAUUGUUUGGCAGCAUAAACUCUGCAAAAGCAGCAGCCGAUGUCCGGGCGAAACGUACUCGCUCGAUUUGUGGCCUAGUCUUAAGGUGCUCACGUGAGGGUACUUUGCUUUGGCCAAUAGGAAUUGUUCCUGGGUACACGUGGCAAACAUUUUGAGCGAGUGCGUUUGUUAGAGUUUUCGGUGGGUUACCGGUUGUUUUCUGCUUUGGAUAAAUAUCAUCCGAUAGGGGCCUACACGUCAAAAACAUCAUUUUCGCUGUUUUCCUUUCUUUUAAUGCUUUUUCUUUAAAAAUUGUUUCGAAUUUUAUGGCUAGUCAAUUUAAAUAAGGUUUUUCAUUUUAGAUAAUGAUCGUCAACUUUUUAUUUUCCAUGAUGGUUUUUCAUUUCACAUUGAUUAAUAGGUUAAAGCCACGACACAACAGCACUAGAAGCUUAAUCGUAUCUAACGUUAGUAGCUUGUUAAAAAAUUAUUUAUCUAAUUUUGUGUGAAAUUAGGGCAUGAUCGAUUAAAUGUUAAUAUGAACACAUUUUUACCUUAUGAUAUAAUGGGGAGCCACUUAUUAAUAACCAUAUUAAAUCAUGUCAUACGUAACUAAUAACUUAUUAUGAAAUUUAUAUCUAAACUAUUGUGUAAUUAAGAUAGAGUUCGUUACAGUAUCAUCGGAUUUUUUUUUUAAUUUUUCUCUUCAAAUACUUACUUAUUUACUUAUGUAACAAAUAAAAAUGUGAAAAGAUAAGUUAUCUCUCUAAAGCUUCCAUUGGCGAACCAAAAAUUUUCAUCCACAAAUAAUAUAACUAUUAUAAUAUAUCUUUCCCUUUGAGAAUAAUAAGAUAAAAAUAUAAUAUAAUAUUAAAUUCAAAACUUCAAAACACUUUCUAAAUAAUUAGUAAAAUUUCACUUAAAGAAUUUUUUGGUGAUACUCUUCUUAUCAAACACAUUUUUACUACAUGUUAUAAAUCAAAAGAAAAAUAUUAUUAUACAUUAUCAUUUUAUUAAGAUUGUUUACCACAAAUGACGUUGUAAAUUUUAUGAAAUAGUAUUAGUGUUUUUGGAAAUAAAUCAUUUAAAAUUAUCAUUAUCAUUAUCAUUUUUAUUAUAUAUGACGCACACGUUUCAUUUUCUUUUAAAAUAUAAUAGUAAGAACCAUUUGUUGAAGAUUUAUUGAAUAUUUGAAUGUAUUAAAAAGCAAGCAUGAACAAAAGGUAGUCAUAGGCCAUUUUGCCGAUUGUGGGUCCCUAAUUUUAGAAAAGAAUUCCGAGGCAACGAAGACUGUUUUUUAACCGUUUGAUGCUCCUUCUUUUACAGCAGCUCAUAUGAUCACCAGCCUCUGGCAGGUACUACCACUAUCCAUUUUCAUCCAUUAGCCAAUGGAAGCUAGCAGAUGCGGCACGUGGGGGGCAACUUUCAUUUAUUUUCUUUCUGAGACAAUAGCAUUCGGGUCCGUGUCUUUCAAACUAUCGCAUUAAAAGGACAUAUUUUAUGAGUUCGUAUCAAACAGGCCCGAAGAACAGUUAAAUUUACCCUUGAAGCAAAUUUAUGUACCUUUCACAUUGAAUGACAUUUUAGUCAUUUCAUGAUGAUUCAAGGACCUAUUUCUUACUAAUCGACAAACUAUGUCAAAGAAUAAAAAUUGAGGGAUUCGGUGCCACAACCUUCCUGCAAAAAGCAAAAGAUAAAAUAAAACUUAAACUAGUAGCAAUUUAUUAAAAAUAAAAAUAAAAAUUUGACCAAAAAGGUUUUGAGUGAAUUACAAGUUUGGGACAAUACAUAUCAAACUCUUUUAUUAAUUUCCGAACACAUUCUAAAUAUUUUAAUUUAUUUCAAUGACAUCUCAUAUGGUUUGUUCACUUGAUGUGAUCAUAGAAUAUGACUGAACAAUCGCUAUCAGUGGUUGAUUCUUUUUUUUAAAAUUUUUUUCGCAUAUUUAAUAAAAUUAACAAUCUAAUCAAUGGUGGGGAUCUUUGUGAAGUAGUCAAAAUAUCAAACUUUGAAGUUCAAAACUAGUGGUUGAAUUAAUUCCAACAAAAUUUAAUUUCUGAAAUGGUGUUGAUGAAUUCGAUUGAAAAUGUACUCAACGGUCCACAUCAAAUUGUUCAAUUUAACUUUUGAUGCAUUUAAUUUUUCAUAACGUCCGAAUCCUCUAAUUUAAGUUAUGGGAGUAUAUUUUUAAAAUGCCAAGAAGAUAAAUCAAGGGAAGGUUAAUUUUUACUACUUAUAUAACUAAUACAGACAAAAAAUAUCAAAAACGCUGGCUUCCACCCUUAUUCUAAAUGAUAAAAUUUUCGUGUAAAUAAUUAGUCUACAACGAAAUUGUAUUGGGGAAUUCAAUAUUUGUUGCUUUUAAUGAACAUAAUAGCCGGAAACGAGGUAGCAUUUGACCAUCAGUCCAUUAAUCCAUUAUAGGCAAAUCAUAUCCCUACCUAGACUAUAUAUUAAAGCAUGAAUGUGCCACUAAAUAAAGUGACGCAACAAGAUGGCUCUUUUGUUAAUUCACAUACAUUGCACCAUUUUCUUCUUCUUCUUUUUCUCAACCUAGUUUUAUUAACAAAUUCUUAUAACCAAUGGGUCCUUGGUUCAUAAGAGCUUUAUGGGGAGGUUAAUUUCAGUGUUCCCUUAAUUAUCAACAUAAUUGAGUUGAGAUAGUUUUUCUCUUACGAAAUAUGAGUGGAGUAAGCACCCCUCGAAUAUUAGAGAAAAUUUAAAAUAUAUAGGCAAAUGCUUCAAUGUGUCAAUGUAUGACGGUGGUCCCAGUUAUAUAGUAUGAUUAUAAAUAUUAAUUAUAAUGUCUGAUGUAAUAUCAGUAAUAUCUCUGUAUAACAGAUCUAAAAAAAAAAUUCCUACACAGGCAAUCGUUAAUAAAAUUUUCAUAACGAUAAUAUAAAAUUCAAAAUAAAUAAAUAUUGUCAAAGGAAUGGGAUGAAAAAUGAAAAUGUUGAAUCUUUAUCCCAAGAAUUUAUGCAUAGAGUUUGUAAAACGAGACGAUCAAUAUUUGUGCAUGUGAAAGGCCGAAAGCUCCCUUUGUUUGGCUUUGGGGUCCAAAAUCAACGCGUUUUCUAAGCUUUAAUGCGUCGCACGGUUGUACGAUGUGCAUACAGCUAUCCUCCACUACUUUGCAAAGAAACAAAUUGCAAAAGUUUUGGGCUCCUUUGAAAAAAAUGACAAUUCUGCUCCAACUUGCGAUUAGUAAAAUUAAAUAAAGGGAAAGUGUGAAACUCACGAAUGUUUUUAGAAUCAAAUACUAAAAAUUAGAGGGGGAAAAUACACAUAUUUAGCCUCCAUUGGACAACCAUUAGUUACUGAUAGCGCAUCGUCUUCAAUGUGUUGCAGUCUUCAAUUACUUUUACAAGAUUAACUGAUAACCAACAUAAGAUCUAUUUGAAAUUAAAGUGCUGUAAUUUUUAAAAUAUAACUGUUGUAAAAAAAAUAUUAUAAUUAUAAAAUAAAAGUUAAUAAUAUGUAAUAAAUAUAAAUUUUAAAUAAUAGUUUUGACAAAAUUUUUAAAGAUAUAAUAGUUUUUUUAUCAUACAAGUGAAAAAUCACAUAAACAUAUUUUUCAAGUUACAACAGCUAGUGUUUACCAAACACUUUAAUGAUGUAUCUUAAGCUGCAGCUAUCCAAUUUCAAUGUUAAACACACCCAUAAUAGACUCAGAAGUAACAAAAUUGUCUUCUAUAAUAAACCAAGUUAUCCAAAAAUGAAAAGUUUAUCAACGGAUAGAUUGGAGAGAAUUUAUUAAAUUACAUUAAUUAAUAAUAAAUGAGCAUUGAGCUUCGUUUAUAUAGAGACAUGGAGUGAAGAAACAGAUUCAUUUAUAAAUUGUAAUAAAUCCAAAGAUCUAGUUUACAAGAACAAACAUGACAUUACAAUUACAAAGGUGCCGUUUUCUUAAAAUACAGUGCUACGCUUAUGUAAGAGAAUUACUAAAUUAGUUUGUUAUUCCCUUCGCAAUGGAGUUGAUCAAAAGAAGACACAGCCGUUUCUUGGCGUCUUGUUUCGUAUCUAGUUGUUUUCAGAAACAUAUUGAUGCAAACCCACAUCACAAAAUCUCCAGGCUAAGAUUGUGUUUUAUAUGCUGUCAUUGUAUUGCAUUUGCAUGUGUGUUAUAACAUGGGACCGAGUUUUGUUUUGGACUCUAAUGGCUCUGAAUCUUCAUAAGAUUUAUUUCUCUUUGGAAUGUUUUGUGUAUAGAUAUAUACCAUAUAAAUAUAUAUCAAACAAUACCAAAAUCAUGAUAUAAUUUCUUUUAAAAGAAUCAUGAUAUCAUUGAUCCAAGCUAUCUUAUCAUGUUUAUUUGUAACUUUUUAGUGUUAUAUAAAUAUGAAUUUAACCCCACAUCGAUUAUGGUAUAAACGAUCUUUGAAUUUUAUAUCACUUAUUCUGUCAAAAAAAGAUUAAAUAUGUUAAUUCAAUUGGUAUUUACACUCUUUUAAUAAUUGUAUCAAAAAAUUGAAACACGGCUUAAUUUGUUUUUAAUAAUUAUUUUGAUCCUAAAAUUUUGCAGUACCCCCUAUUCAAUUUUAAUUAAUUUUGAUUUAAAUAGAAAAAAUAAAUUUUAAAAUAUAUAUUAGUAAUAUUAAAUAAAAAAAAGUUAAUUAAUCGAAACUUAACAUGAUUAGUAAACAGAUGAAAUUAAUAAAAUUCGUUUAAUAAUCAUGUCAAGUUUCGUUCCAUCCGAAACCAUUAAUUCAUUUUUCAAGUCACAAAUUACCACCCCUAAUCAUAUUACAUCGGAUAAUCAGAUAUACCUGCUACAUAUAAGAUCUCGCACAUCAUUAAUUCUGUGAAUAUGAGUAGUGGGAGCACUGGAUUUACAACACUGAGCCAUUAUUGGGGUUGUGGGGCACGUCAGCAACUUAUUAAAAGAUCUGGUGCAGCAGACAAGAUUGUUGUUCCUUACAGACAAAGGCAACUCCCC
This 22335-nucleotide long non-coding RNA is filed under the name Citrus x clementina. Its description in RNAcentral is "Citrus clementina (C. clementina) long non-coding RNA (CCLE_LNC000745)". Lineage: Eukaryota; Viridiplantae; Streptophyta; Magnoliopsida; Sapindales; Rutaceae. The record is from RNAcentral.